This 810-nucleotide ribosomal RNA is filed under the name Triticum aestivum (bread wheat). RNAcentral describes it as "partial small subunit ribosomal RNA". Lineage: Eukaryota; Viridiplantae; Streptophyta; Magnoliopsida; Poales; Poaceae. The record is from RNAcentral.
AUGCCGCCGCCCAGCUCCUACCUCCCGCUCGCCGCCGCCCCCAUGUCCGACCCCUCCCCCUCCCCGCCCCCCAACCCCCUCGCCGCCGCCUCCUCCUUCCUCCAGCACCACCUCUCCAGCCUCGCCUCACGCUUCGCCGCCCCGCGGCCCGCGCUCGCCGCGGCGCGCCCGCCGGGGCCCCACGGCGCCGCCGCCCAGCCCCUCGCGCUAGGGCCCGACGAGGUCGCGCGCGCGCUCACCGGCACGCCCGUCUUCACCGUCUGCAACUCCAGCAACGAGUUCGUGCUCGUCUCCGACCCCGCCACCGGACUCCGCUCCCUCGGCCUCCUCUGCUUCCGCUCCGAGGACGCCGACGCCCUCCUCUCCCAUGUGAGGACGCGGCAGCCGGUGUUAGGGAAGGGGGCCAAAGUGGUGCCGAUUACGCUAGAUCAGGUUUAUAUGUUGAAGGCCGAAGGUAUCGCAUUCCGCUUCUUACCUGAUCCACUUCAAAUAAAGAAUGCACUGCAGUUGAAAUCUGGCUUAACUGGUUUUGAUGGUGUCCCCGUUUUUCAGUCAGAUCUAUUGGUCGUUAAGAAACAGAAGAAGCGCUAUUGUCCAGUAUACUUUCAAAAGGAGGACAUAGAAAGAGAGCUUAGAAAGGCGUCUAAAUCUUCGAAAGGAUCAGCCUUAUCUAAGCAAAUUAUGGUUGGUAGUUUGGAGGAUGUCUUGAAGAAAAUGGAGAUUAACGACAGAAAUUCUGGUUGGGAUGACUUAAUCUUCAUACCACCUGGAAAGAGCCUCAACCAACAUAUCAAUGAGGUAUCAGCGUAG